GGGCGGAUAGCUCAGUUGGGAGAGCAUUGCCCUUACAAGGCAGAGGUCGCAGGUUCGAGCCCUGUUCCGCCUACCA
RNAcentral lists this transfer RNA (76 nucleotides) under Nitrospira sp. RNAcentral describes it as "tRNA-Val". It matches the Rfam family "tRNA". Rfam says of the family: Transfer RNA (tRNA) molecules are approximately 80 nucleotides in length. Their secondary structure includes four short double-helical elements and three loops (D, anti-codon, and T loops). RNAcentral also lists the same sequence under 9 other names. Lineage: Bacteria; Pseudomonadati; Nitrospirota; Nitrospiria; Nitrospirales; Nitrospiraceae. The record is from RNAcentral.